UAGGUGGCGAGCGUUAUCCGGCUUUACUGGGCGUAAAGGGAGCGUAGGCGGAUGAUUAAGUGGGAUGUGAAAUACCCGUGCUCAACUUGGGUGCUGCAUUCCAAACUGGUUAUCUAGAGUGCAGGAGAGGAGAGUGGAAUUCCUAGUGUAGCGGUGAAAUGCGUAGAGAUUAGGAAGAACACCAGUGGCGAAGGCGACUCUCUGGACUGUAACUGACGCUGAGGCUCGAAAGCGUGGGGAGCAAA
Molecule: ribosomal RNA, 245 nt
Filed under: uncultured bacterium
Lineage: Bacteria
Description: partial 16S ribosomal RNA
Rfam family: Bacterial small subunit ribosomal RNA
Source: RNAcentral